CUGAAAUGUUAUGGUUUCUAUUUAGUA
RNAcentral lists this unclassified non-coding RNA (27 nucleotides) under Dictyostelium discoideum. The record is from RNAcentral. Lineage: Eukaryota; Evosea; Eumycetozoa; Dictyosteliales; Dictyosteliaceae.